Molecule: transfer RNA, 72 nt
Rfam family: tRNA
About the family: Transfer RNA (tRNA) molecules are approximately 80 nucleotides in length. Their secondary structure includes four short double-helical elements and three loops (D, anti-codon, and T loops).
Source: Rfam
GCGCGGGUAGCUCAGUGGUAGAGCGUUCGAUUGCAGCUCGAAGGGUCACUGGUUCGAAUCCGGUCUCGCGCU